CCUACGGGAGGCAGCAGUGAGGAAUAUUGGUCAAUGGACGAGAGUCUGAACCAGCCAAGUAGCGUGAAGGAUGACUGCCCUAUGGGUUGUAAACUUCUUUUAUAAGGGAAUAAAACGAGGCACGUGUGCCUUUUUGCAUGUACUUUAUGAAUAAGGAUCGGCUAACUCCGUGCCAGUAGCCGCGGUAAUACGGAGGGUCCGAGCGUUAUCCGGAUUUAUUGGGUUUAAAGGGAGCGUAGAUGGGUUGUUAAGUCAGUUGUGAAAGUUUGCCGCUCAACCGUAAAAUUGCAAUUGAUACUGGCAGUCUUGAGUACAGUUGAGGUAGGCGGAAUUCGUGGUGUAGCGGUGAAAUGCUUAGAUAUCACGAAGAACCCCGAUUGCGAAGGCAGCUUACUAAGCUGUGACUGACAUUGAUGCUCGAAAGUGUGGGGAUCAAACAGGAUUAGAUACCCGAGUAGUC
Molecule: ribosomal RNA, 460 nt
Filed under: uncultured bacterium
Lineage: Bacteria
Description: partial 16S ribosomal RNA
Rfam family: Bacterial small subunit ribosomal RNA
Source: RNAcentral